GGAGAGGUGGCAGAGUGGUCGAAUGCGCUGCACUCGAAAUGCAGUGUGCGGGCAACCGUACCGUGGGUUCGAAUCCCACCCUCUCCGCCA
RNAcentral lists this transfer RNA (90 nucleotides) under Erythrobacter sp. RNAcentral describes it as "tRNA-Ser". It matches the Rfam family "tRNA". From Rfam's summary of the family: Transfer RNA (tRNA) molecules are approximately 80 nucleotides in length. RNAcentral also lists the same sequence under 4 other names. Lineage: Bacteria; Pseudomonadati; Pseudomonadota; Alphaproteobacteria; Sphingomonadales; Erythrobacteraceae. The record is from RNAcentral.